UACCAAGGCUUAAAUGGGAAUUGAUCGGUUUAGAAAUAGACCUUCCUUCGGGCAAUUUUCAAGGUGCUGCAUGGUUGUCGUCAGCUCGUGCCGUGAGGUGUUAGGUUAAGUCCUGCAACGAGCGCAACCCCUGUCACUAGUUGCUAGCAUUAAGUUGAGGACUCUAGUGAGACUGCCUACGCAAGUAGAGAGGAAGGUGGGGAUGACGUCAAAUCAUCACGGCCCUUACGCCUUGGGCCACACACGUAAUACAAUGGCCGGUACAGAGGGCAGCUACACAGCGAUGUGAUGCAAAUCUCGAAAGCCGGUCUCAGUUCGGAUUGGAGUCUGCAACUCGACUCUAUGAAGCUGGAAUCGCUAGUAAUCGCGCAUCUACCAUGGCGCGGUGAAUACGUUCCCGGGCCUUGUACACACCGCCCGUCAAGCCAUGGAAGUCUGGGGUACCUGAAGUCGGUGACCGU
RNAcentral lists this ribosomal RNA (461 nucleotides) under Flavobacterium sp. E0-I4. Its description in RNAcentral is "bacterial SSU rRNA". It matches the Rfam family "Bacterial small subunit ribosomal RNA", at positions 972 to 1437 of the family's 1533-position model. The record is from RNAcentral. Lineage: Bacteria; Pseudomonadati; Bacteroidota; Flavobacteriia; Flavobacteriales; Flavobacteriaceae.